Molecule: long non-coding RNA, 874 nt
Filed under: Oryctolagus cuniculus (rabbit)
Lineage: Eukaryota; Metazoa; Chordata; Mammalia; Lagomorpha; Leporidae
Description: lncRNA (ENSOCUG00000036769.1)
Source: RNAcentral
CAGAAAGGGACAUUAAGGGAAAUUGAAACAGACGGAUGUCUUACUGUAUCUCCCACAUUGAUGUUUUCCAGUUGUUACUAACAUGGCCAUGUGUGAUCAUCUGAAAGCAGUAACAUAAAUCAGGCUCAACUGCUAUCAUGCUGCAGUGAGAAUUCCUUGAAGGUAUUUCAUAGAGAAGCCACAGAAGAUCAUUUUCAUAUUUUGCAAAUGAAAUGACAGUACUGGAGUAGUUUCCUAUAAUGGAGAUGCUUUGGGCAAUUGACAACUAUUAUAUGACUCAUCAUCUUCAAAUAAUUUACCCACUAGAGAUGAAAGACUUGUGGACUUCCAUCUUUCUUUGGCCCUCACAAUUUUUCUCUUCCACCACCAAUAAAAUAGUCACACAUAAUCACAAUCCUAUUAUGUGCAAAGACUUUGAAGUACAGGGGUCCCUGGCUUCCUGCAGUCCAGCAUCCACAGAGCAUAUUGAGUGAAAUAUUGACAUCUUCAGUGUUAUAGAAGGCGUUUCCAAAAAGAUGGUGGAAAAAUACAUAUACUGAGGGCCUGGCUCUGUGGCACAACGGGUUAAAGCCCUGGCCUGAAGCACGGCAUCCCAUAUGGGCGCUGGUUCUAGUUCUGUCUGUUCAUCUUCCAAUCCAGCUCUCUACUAUGGCCUGGGAAAGCAGUAGAAGAUGGCCCAAGUUCUUGGGCCCCUGCACCCAUGUGGGAGAACCAGAAGAAGCUCCUGGUUCCUGGCUUGGGAUCAGUGCAGCUCUGGCCAUUGUUGCCAUCUUGGGAGUGAACCAGCGGAUGGAAGACCUCUCUCUGUCUCUACCUCUCUCUGUAACUCUGUCUUUUAAAUAAAAUAAAAUAAAAUAAAAUAAAAUAAAAUAAA